CCAUAAAAUAAAUAUAAAUAAUAUACAAACCCAUCAAAACAUUUCUCCUCCUUCUUCAGCGAGACUACCACCUAGCCACCGUCGCUAUGGUCGACCACACUAUUGUCAUCUCCACUAUAGCUCCCCUCACCACUUUCCCCACUACUAAUGGAAGUCACAAAGCGAAAAAGCAGCUUGCAAGUAGCAUCGGUCAAAGAGGAUUAGGAAAUUAUUGGGGAAAACCUAGGAGAACAAGACAAUAUAGCCGAGAAAAAUUCUUUGGUGGGUUCAUCUAUCUCUCGUGUUGGAGGUGAUAAAUCCUUGCAGGAAGAGACCCAUGCCACUAUUACUGUUCACCCCCAACACAAUGUACGAAGAAGCACGUCGAAUUAAAGGGCAUGUCUAUCUCAGACUUGAGUAGAUCUAGUGAGUCAGGGCUUAAGGAAAGCAGAUCUGACCCCUUUGGAAGUAGAAUUGGAGGUAGAUAAGCUAGAGGUUCUGGAACAAAUCAAGGCAAUAGUGACUGUUACCAGCAAGUCGAUCUAAUAUUUGGCCCUCUCUCAUCCUCUUCCUUUUCACCGCUUACUUGUGGAACUCGACAAUGCAGGUCCUUUGACGUGUUUGAAUGCUAUAACAAUGCGUGUCUCGACGAGGAAUCUUUGUCGGAGCCGUCGGUUUAAUUGGCUUAAGCGACGGUGCAUUAUCUUUCCCUUCUCAAUUUUGAGAUUUUUUUGAUUUUUUUUGUGGAGGGUGAUUCCAUUGGUAGUGGGGGAAGUGGUGAGGGGAGUUGUGGUGGAGAUGACAAUAGUGUGAUCGGCGGUGGCGGCGAUGGCUAAGUGGUAGUCUCGCCGAAAAAGGAGGAGGAGAAAUGUUUUCAUGGAUUUAUAUAUUAUUUAUAUUUAUUUUUUGGUUUUUUAAUUUAAUUAAAUAACUUAUUUUAUUUUUAAUAUGAAAAAAGCAAAGUACCAUUUUGCCCCUUUUAAUUUGGUCAAAAUUGAUCAGUUUUUCUAAUUUUUGGUCAAUUAACGGACAAUGGAUGGUUUUCGUCCAAAUGAAUUUCAGUUGCACAUUUAUGAAAGGUCGGGGAUCUUCACUGGCACAAAAUGAAGGUUACGGUAAAGUCUGCAAAAAUUGAAAAAGUUAGGGACGGCUGCUGCAAUUUUUCCUAAAUUUUACUAGGUCAAAUAUUUAAUUAGUGAUAGAGUAAUGAAAAAUAUAUCAAUAUUGGGCUCGUUGGAUAGCUCGUAAUUAAUUGCGGAUGUUGGACUCGAGAAAAAGUCAAUUCGGAUAAGUUAGAUUCAAGAUAAUGAAGUUUAUAGACCUCGUCCACUCGGCUCACGAAAACGAAGCUCAUGGGUGGCUUAGACUCGUAAAAACACGAGUGUAAGCCGAGCGGGCCGGUUCGGUGGGCGAGCCGAGCGGGAACGAACCGUUCCGGCUCGUGGGCUCAUUUCAAAAGUGACCGAAACGGUCACUUUUUUUAGUGAUUGUUACAGUCACUGACUUUUGUCAGUGAUCGUUUCGGUCCUUGAAUUUUUUUAUUAAUAAUUAUGAUCGUUAACGGUCAUUGAAUUUUUUCAGUGACCGUUUCGGUCCUUUAACUUUUUUUUCCUUCUAUAAAUAGUGUCAUUUAGCCACUAUUUUUUCUAUAAUUCACUCUCAACUCUCAAUUCUCCUUCUCUCAACUCUCUUGUGUUGUGUUGAUAGUUGUGCAAUUUUUAUAUACAAUUUAUACAAUAUCCAAUUUUCAUUUCUCAGUUCUCACUAUAUUUAUUGAAAUUUCAUCCAAUUUUCAUUUCUCACUACAUUUAUAUAAUUAUUCUUUUACUAGUUAUUACUUAUUACAAUUAAACAAAUUGAUCCACGCACAUUUGUCGAAAACUUGUUUGGUGUGGGAGGAAGCGAAUCACCUAUGACACUGCAAAGUUAAUUUCAGAAUCAAUUUGAAGGUUUAAAUGACGUACCCCUACCUGAAGAUAUUCCAGAUUGGAUCUUUAUCAUCAUGUAAGCGGCAAUCCAAAUUUUUCAAUUAAUUUGGAUGAUGUUGAUGUCCCCGAAGUGGAACACGAUCAGGAAGAAAAAGCUGAAUUAAACAUUCCUGAUGCGAGGGGAAAGUGAAAGUGGAAAAAAUAAGCAAAAUGUUGGGAUCACUUUAAGUUGAUUUCAACGAGAAAAAUCGUCAAUGGAGUCCCAAAAUCCAAAGCAGUAUGUGAAUACUGCCAACAAAGAUUGGCAUGGCAAAGAGGAAUUGGUACCACCCAUCUCAACCGUCAUUACAAAGUAUGUGCGGCCACACACGAACUUAUUCUAGGCUGUCAAACACAAUUGCAUUUUGGCAAUCCAAACGCCGGUGGUUCUGCUGCACCCCUAUCCACAUGGGUGUAUUCGGAGGAGAGAGCUCGAACUGGAAUGGUGAAGCUUGUUGCUGGUGCUGAGUUGCCUUUGGCAUUAAUUGACAACCAACAGUACUCUGGUAUGUGAAAAAAUAUCUGCAGCCAAGGUACGUUGAGGUAAGUCGAAACACUCUUUGUUCCGAUACAAUACAAUAUUUUACUGAAACAAAACAACAAUUAAUUAUGGAUUUGCAAAAAUAUGGGGGUGUUAUAUCUUUAACUUUGGAUAUAUGGGAAGGGAUUAAUAAAAGAGCAUAUAUAGCUGCAACUGCACAUUAUAUAGAUCCACUUUGAUGCAUGCAUAAAAAAAUUAUUGCUUUUAGAAUUAUUGAGUUUUAUCACAACGCUAAUAAUAUAUUUAAUGCUAUUAUUAGUAUUGUUAGAGAAUAUAAUUGCGAAAGUAAAAUUCGUUCAUUUACUUUCGAUAAUACUAGUGUUAAUAAAGUAGUUACCGAUAAAUUGCAUAGAGUACUGGAACCAGAUUUUGGUGGGUAUUUGUUUCAUAUUCGUUGUGUAUAUCAUAUUUUGAAUUUAAUUGUCCAAAAUGGUUUAAAACAUAUAAAGGAUGAAUUUCAAAAUAUUAGGAACGCACUAAUAUAUAUCACAAUCUCUCCAAGUAGAAACACGAGCAUUUGAGAAUUAUUGUGCCGAAAUAGGCGUGCAAAAUGCUAAAAUAUUUGUUAGCGACGUAGGUCAUAUGUGGAACUCUACUUACUUGUUAUUAAAGUCAUGUGAAGGUUUUGAACAUUUAAUAACUGACUUUUAUAACAAUAGACAUAUUAGAAGUGAUGAUGAGGGUAUAUUGACUGAACGUGAUUGGCAAAUCGCUUUGAAAAUUAAAAGAUUUUUGACAUCUUUUUAUAAAACCACUAAGAUUUUAUCGAGCGUUUACUAUCCCACCAGCUGUAUAGUGCUUGAAGGUCUUUAUAUAAUUGCAAGAAUAAUUCAUAAAUAAAAUGACCUUGGUUUUAGUGAAAUUAUAAUUGCUAUGGAAUUAAAAUUUAGAAAAUAUUGGGAAGACUUGCCUAUGUUAUUUCCUUUAGCAUGCGUGAUGGACUCCCGAUAUAAUUUAUCGGGAACUAAAUAUAUAAUUGAUCAAAUUUCAAACGCUUUAACAUUUGAUACACCUAUCACAUAUAGAAAUUUAGAGCAAAUAUUAUGUGAAAUGUAUGAAUUUAUGCGAAUCGAAUGUGUACAAAUAUUAGUCGGGUACCAUCUGCACCUACUCCUUCCGCUGAUAUUGAAUAAGAAGAUGCGGAAAUAUUUAAUUUAUCUCAAGGCAUUAAUUCGUAUAGAUAUGAUUCAUCUGUAAUGUGUUCAUCUACUACCACUGCCAUGUCGUCACCAUCUGUAUCUCAUUCUCAUCAAACAUCUACGGGCUAAAGCCAUAAUGCAUUGCUUGCUGAAUUAAUUGAUUAUUUCAACUAGAAUAUGCCAACAGAUAAAACAAUUAAAAAAAGUUUAGACGAAAUAAUUGAAUUCUGGCGAAAGUAUGAACGACAUUGGCCAGUUAUAUGUGUGAUUGCAAAAGAUCUGCUGACACCUCCAGUUAGCACUAUUGUUUCAAAGUCUGCUUUUAGUGCAGGUAAAAGAGUUUUGAGUGAGGUCAGGAGCCGACUGAAAGAAGAUAUUUUAGAAGCGUUAAUGUGCGUUAAAGAUUGGCAGGACGCUCAUUUUCGAUUACAAGAUAAAUAUGCCGAAAUUGCAUGUCAUCAAGUAAGUGAUAUUUGAUUUAAUUAUACUAAUGAAACUUUUCUUUCCUUAUUGUUACUUUUAAUUUUCUUUAAAAAAUUGUACACGCUACAAAAAAUUGUUCGUGUACAAUUUUUAACUUCGCCUACUGAAAAUUUAAGUAGUUGGUCCCAAGCUCAGAUAAAGGAGGAAGAUUUAUAUUUUAUCUAUUUUAAAAAGAAAAAUAAAAAAAAUAAAGAUUUCAUUUUUAUUUUUUCCCAUCUCUUUUAGUUUAAAAAAAAUAAAUCUUUCCACCAAUUUAGUUAAAUUUUUGUUAGUACUUGGUACUAUUACUACUAUAUGUCUACAUUUUAAAUUCUUUUCUCGAACAACGCUGUGCGUACCUUUGCAUAUAAUUUUCGAAAUAAAUUCCUUCUGAAAAUUGAAAGGGUAAUCGAAUGAUUGCCCUUUCAAUUGUCAGAAGUCUUUCACUUUGAAAAUUAUAUAUAAUCUUCGAAGUGAAAGACUUCUAUAUAAUCUUUGAAGUGAAGACUUCUGACAAUUGAAAGGGCAUUCGAUUACUCUUUCAAUUUUUCGAAGGGAUUUAUUUCGAAAAUUAUAUGCAAAGGAACGCGCAGCGUUGCUUGAAAAAAUGAUUUUUAAUACUGUUUUAAAUUUUCUUUAAAAAAUUGUAUACGAACAAUUACAAACAACACAAUUUUUAACUCCGCCUACUCUAAAUUUAAGUAACCGGUCACAAGCCCGGAUAAAGGAGGGGGUUUAAAUUUUUUACCUAGUUUUUUAUAUAUAAAAUUUUUUUAUAUAAAAAAUUAACGAUUUAAAAAUUAAAAUUACUUUUUUUAUUUUCCAAUUUACCUAUUUGUUUCCCCAAAAAAAAAAUGAAAAAUGACAUCUGCUCGCGAGCUAAGCUCGCCCAUUUUUGGACGAGCCGAGCUCAUGCUUUCAUGGGUCGAGCUGACUCAGCUCGGCCCAUUGACACCCCAAUAGUAAUUGUUUAUAUUUAUUAUUAUUUUUACAAAGAAUGCCAACACGUGUAGAUUGGAUAGGGUUAGAAUAAAAUAGUAUUUUUUUUGGUAGGAAUGAUAAAAUAUAUUAUAUCAUAGUCAAGUUUAUUGGAUUAUUGUGUCAGCUCGACCCAUUUACACCCCAAUAGUAAUUGUUUAUAUUUAUUAUUAUUUUUACAAAGAAUGCCAACACGUGUAGAUUGGGUAGGGUUAGAAUAAAAUAGUAUUUUUUUGGUAGGAAUGAUAAAAUAUAUUAUAUCAUAGUCAAGUUUAUUGGAAUAUUACACAAUAAUCAUGACAUUGUGCUCCCAUGAUGUAAGCCAUCCUUGAUUGAGAAUUUGGCAAUUUUCCUUGUUUGAAUGGAAAGGAAUUGAUAGAGACGUGUUUGAAUAAAAAGCAAAUUAGUAAAUUGAGCCACUGACAUGGGAAAGCGUGUGGCUUUAUGAUGUGAUAUAAAUGGUAUAGAUAGCAUACACGUAGAAACUCCUUCUCUACCUUAAAUAAGCAUUUCACAUUUAGGAAAAAAAAGUUGUGAUAUGUUUAAUUGAACAAAAGGGAGAUCCACGCACAAAAAAAGGGGGAGGCUUAGAAUGUGAAACUACUGCAUUUCUUUUAAGAAAACUCUUUUCAUCAAUCAAGAUAGGAUCACGAGGCGCAGUUUACGUUAUCUUGUUUAAAAUAUUUUUUUUCAUGUCAAUGAAUUAUUAUACUUAUGAAAUUUAAAGAUAUGAUAUGCUGUGAAAUAUUAUGAUAUGGCCAUCCGGUACCAAAGAUAUGAUACUUAUUAAGCUAUUACCGAUUUUAAAGAAAUGAUGACGGUAUGAUUUUUUUUGAAGCAUGAUUUUAAUUCUUUUAUUUGGGAUCGCGCCAUUUAUUUUGUGUCCUACUGAGUAUUUCAAUACUCACCCUUUUCCCUAUAUCUCACAGAUUAGAUCGGGUCGUGUUGAAGCGUAGUGGUUCGAUGGUGUGUUUGUGCCUUGUUUCACUGGAUAAGGAUCUAAGUUGGCAUGUAAUUUUAUUUAUUUUAAGUUUAUUGCAAUAGACAUUUAUUUAUGAAUAAAUUCUCGUACAUGUUUAUUUGCAAAUGAAAAUAUGUAGUUUGCG
RNAcentral lists this long non-coding RNA (6172 nucleotides) under Olea europaea subsp. europaea. Lineage: Eukaryota; Viridiplantae; Streptophyta; Magnoliopsida; Lamiales; Oleaceae. The record is from RNAcentral.